This 74-nucleotide transfer RNA is filed under the name Camelus bactrianus (Bactrian camel). It matches the Rfam family "tRNA". From Rfam's summary of the family: Transfer RNA (tRNA) molecules are approximately 80 nucleotides in length. Lineage: Eukaryota; Metazoa; Chordata; Mammalia; Artiodactyla; Camelidae. RNAcentral also lists the same sequence under 2 other names. The record is from Rfam by way of RNAcentral.
GGGAGUACAGCUCAAGUGGUAGAGCACACGCUUAGCAUGCACCGAGGUCUGGGGUUCAAUUCCCACUACUCCCU